AACUCCACAUACGCAUCCUUUGCUGAAGGUGCGGUUAACGGAGCGCAAGCGACGUUCAACCUCAAAAGAAGCAGAGGGGGCUUAGUGGUGGGGUGACUGCGUACCUUUUGUAUAAUGGGUCAGCGACUUAUAUUCUGUAGCAAGGUUAACCGCAUAGGGGAGCCGGAGGGAAACCGAGUCUUAAUUGGGCGUUAAGUUGCAGGGUAUAGACCCGAAACCCGGUGAUCUAGCCAUGGGCAGGUUGAAGGUUGGGUAACACUAACUGGAGGACCGAACCGACUAAUGUUGAAAAAUUAGCGGAUGACCUGUGGCUGGGGGUGAAAGGCCAAUCAAACCGGGAGAUAGCUGGUUCUCCCCGAAAGCUAUUUAGGUAGCGCCUCGUGAAUUCAUCUCCGGGGGUAGAGCACUGUUUCGGCUAGGGGGCCAUCCCGGCUUACCAACCCGAUGCAAACUGCGAAUACCGGAGAAUGUUAUCACGGGAGACACACGGCGGGUGCUAACGUCCGUCGUGAAGAGGGAAACAACCCAGACCGCCAGCUAAGGUCCCAAAGUCAUGGUUAAGUGGGAAACGAUGUGGGAAGGCCCAGACAGCCAGGAUGUUGGCUUAGAAGCAGCCAUCAUUUAAAGAAAGCGUAAUAGCUCACUGGUCGAGUCGGCCUGCGCGGAAGAUGU
Molecule: ribosomal RNA, 672 nt
Filed under: Salmonella enterica subsp. enterica serovar Kentucky
Lineage: Bacteria; Pseudomonadati; Pseudomonadota; Gammaproteobacteria; Enterobacterales; Enterobacteriaceae
Description: partial 23S ribosomal RNA
Rfam family: Bacterial large subunit ribosomal RNA (bases 69-672)
Source: RNAcentral